This is a long non-coding RNA of Lethenteron reissneri (Far Eastern brook lamprey), 357 nucleotides long. RefSeq lists it as uncharacterized. The record is from RefSeq and is a predicted model, not a curated record. Lineage: Eukaryota; Metazoa; Chordata; Hyperoartia; Petromyzontiformes; Petromyzontidae.
UCGCCACCAUCGCCACCUCCACCAGGCUGGAAUGCGUGGUGGGUGGCAUUGCCCGUUGCCUUGGCAUUGACAACUCUCGUCUCGGUGCUGGUGAUCUACACGUGUGUGAAGAACAGGAGAAGCAGACGCAAGGCGGCGGAGGGAGCUGCGAGCACGCAACUUGGGCGCAGAGCGGGCUGCUGCCUGAGCCUCAAGAGGAUCUUCCCGAGCCGCAUCCCCGAGCCGGCCGACUCGCUCAUCAACAUCCGCUACCACCCGGACAAGCGGCAGUCGCACGACAUCGGCGCCGUGCUCAGCAACAUCGAGGGGGCUCGCCACCCGGACUACGCCGUACCGCUCAUGACUCCAGGCCAGGUG